AAAUGUAAAUACAAACAUUUAAGCUUAUUGCCACUGCCAGGGUAUUUAAGUUAUCCUGUUUGUUAUGGAAAAUAAAUAUAAUCUACAUACAAAUCUCUGAGCCACAAUCAUAACAUCUGAACAGGCAAUUUCUGAGGUAACAGCAGAAACAUUUUUUUUUAUCAGGGAUCUUAUGUUUAAAAAACUUAUAUUAUAGGUAGUGGGCUGUUUUAGGGAAUUUUUGAUCAAAUUAUCCGUAGUAGCAAUAUUAAUAAUGUUGUGUUUAUUCUGCGUAGUGGACUUAAAAUAAUUAUGACCAUAUCUGUUUGCUUGGUGCUUUGAUAAACUGAACACAUAUACAUGGUACUAUAUUGUGAUGUUAUGAGCCAGGGGAAAAAAGAACUACCCUACCCAGCAUGCAACAGGAGUGACGAGCAUGCGCGGUAGCCCGGUAUAGGUUGUGUCGCCAUGACGGCAUCUUGUAUGUUGUGAUAUGCACGCUCUGAAAGCAAACGUUAAGAACUCAGCCAACACUCCUGGUCUGCAUUAUUCAUAAAUAGACAGACAACACAUAUACUCCGCUGCUUCACAAAGCACAAUAUGUUAAAUGUUUACUUUUACAGUUUUCUAAUUCUUCCUUUCAGAUUGACAGCAGGACAAAUCGCUGGAAGUGGGUAUGUCUCAAGCUUCUUCCACUUGGUCCACUCCAAAGCGGGCUGCAAAGGGGAAGAAGUGGAAGCAGUUGAAUGACACAUGUUGCAUUUUGUAACUGGCAACAAAGUACCAGGUAAAAAAGAUUGUGAAGCCUGCCUCCAUAAAGAACUAGUAGCUCUACAGGACAGAGAUUGGCUUGCCAUCAAGUACUACAUCCAUAACAGAAUUAUAUUAAAAAAAGGGAAAAAAAAUGUUUUCCCACAUCUUCUGUGGUAGUUUGAGUAUGUUACCAGCAAUUAAAAAAGCAAAAUAAACAGCAA
Nerophis ophidion (straightnose pipefish) is the source of this 953-nucleotide long non-coding RNA. RefSeq lists it as uncharacterized. NCBI's taxonomy places the organism in Eukaryota, Metazoa, Chordata, Actinopteri, Syngnathiformes, Syngnathidae. The record is from RefSeq and is a predicted model, not a curated record. The transcript has 2 exons.